Molecule: long non-coding RNA, 317 nt
Filed under: Musa acuminata (dwarf banana)
Lineage: Eukaryota; Viridiplantae; Streptophyta; Magnoliopsida; Zingiberales; Musaceae
Description: long non-coding RNA (MACU_LNC001385)
Source: RNAcentral
GGGGGUUUCGCCCGCGGGAGCAGCGGCGGCAGGCGCCGUUGCCCUACGGCGCCUCUGCCCGUGGGCUGCCAGCCCCGCCAGCAGCAAGCCUGCUGCAAGCAGACCGCCGGCCGGCUGCUGCAGGCACAGCGCUUGCGCAUGCGCCGGCGCUGUGCUGCCUGGCUGCGGUUGCCGCUGCAGGUGGCUGCAGGCAUGCAGAUCGAGGGUAGCAACUGUUACUGCCCUUCCUCGCUUUUGCGUCAACGAUUUUGACGUCAAAAUUCUUCCUAAACACAACACACGCAGUUCAAAACCAAUCAUUCGCACGAACAACCUGG